Molecule: long non-coding RNA, 9190 nt
Organism: Macadamia integrifolia
Lineage: Eukaryota; Viridiplantae; Streptophyta; Magnoliopsida; Proteales; Proteaceae
Exons: 2
Source: RefSeq, a predicted model, not a curated record
CACCGCUGUGGAGAUGAGCUGCAUCCGAUUAAACUCCCCUUUCUGGGUCACGAUGAACCCUAACCCUUUCACCAAAAAAAAAAAAAAAAACUGAGAUAAACCUUAACUCACUUUCCCUUCCUUGGAGAGCAGUGCGGCACUCUCUCUUCCUUGAACUACACCAGUUUCUUACUCCUCUCUCUCUCUCUGUCAAAGGCGGAAGGGUGCCAUGACCACACACUCACAUGCUCAGGGCUUAAAACCAAGAGAGAACGGAUGGAAAGGCGGAAGGUACCUGUAGCGACCUGGGCUGGGUUCCUGAGGCUUUCUGAAAUCCUGAACGAGAGAAGUAAUGGCAAUCGAGUGCUUCUGCAUUGUGAUUCCUCAAACAAGUAGCAGAACCUUCAAGACCGGACUGAUCACAGAUUGAAGCCGAACCUGGCCCUCCCUCCCACAAUCUGAAACCUUCGAAACCAGACUGAAUUUCAGGUUUCGAUCUGCUGAGAAGAACGCAGGAUUCCCCAUCUCCGAUCUCUGUGUGACAAGUUGCAAAGAUCAAUCACUUUUCCUAUGAGUUCUCUUCAAGUACCUGAAAUGGUCUCACAAAAUUUUAGUAGUACUACUACUAAGGGGAGAGAUUAUGAUGUCAGUUCUAAAAAACACAUAUAAAUUUGGAUGGAUGGAAUUUUUGAUGUUUAUCUAGAUGAUAAAGCCUUCAAAAACAUCAGAAAUUCCUUCUCAUCCAAAUUUGUAUGUGUUUUCAGGACUUAUAGUAUAACUUAUCUCCUUAAUAGUAUUACUGAAAUCUUGUGAGAUGAUUUCAGGGACUGGAAGAGAAAUCCGUUCAGAUCCAAGCAGUGCCACCUUAUUCUCAUUAUUUUUUUCCAAUGUUUUCCGCUAUCUCAAUAUGUUAAUCUCAUUUUUCUUUCUUGGUUGGAGAAAAGUUUUAUUUACAUGGCUUGAUGGGGAAACCGAAAUACUGUUUAUGCUGAACAAGUUUCUUCGUUCUAUUUCUUUCUUUUGCUGUUUUAUUAUUAUUCUUGGAUAUUCUAUUACUGCUGUUGUUUUGUUCUCCUUAAAUCCUUUAUUGACCUAAUUGUUCUGCUUUUUUAUCUAUUCAUAUCUGUCUCUAGAAUUGUUCUGAAGUUGCUCUUUUUUAUCGCUUUAUCUCCUGCUGGAAAACACAGUAUUCAAUUAACUUCCUUUUUUUCUUAUUUCAGUUUUUGUUUGAUGUCCUCAUAAGAUGUGCAAAACAGUUCUUUAGUCAUCAGAGUAGCCUCCUGCUGGUGGUUUCCCAAGAAAUUAUUAGCACUAGAUAUCAUCGGCAUUAUCUGAAUCUUAGGUAAGCCUCGUGUAAUUGGGUCAGAUUUGUAAGAGUUAGAGAAAGUUUUCUCCGUAAUCUGUUUUCCAACCAAGUUAGAAUUGAGUUUCUAUUUGCCAAAAACGAAAAAAAAAGAAAAAAAAAGCAAUUGCCUGAAUCCGUGAUAUGAACCACUAAUCCAGAGCCAAAUAGGGAUCGGGGUGAUUUGUGAAAGUUUACUAGUGGAUUUAUUUCCCCUCUCAGGUUCCCUUCUUUGUUUUGACUAUAUUCACUCAUGAAUUACAAAAAUAGCAAAGUCUGUUAUAAUCAUUUAACUAAAUGUGGUUGCAAGAUUUUAAUAGGGGUGGUUAUUCUAAAAAAGUUGCUCCCAUAUUAAUGUAUGCCAUUUAGGCUCGAAUUCAUAUUCAGGGAAAUUUCAGUCACUGGCUACAUUAAUAUUCACAUCCCCAUACCAGUCUAAGAUUAUGUCCAUUUGAGGUUUAGGGUUACAUAGUGCUAAGAAAUUAAACUCCAAUUGGUUCUAAAAAAUAUGGCAGUGGCUUGAGAUGGUAUGCUAACACCAAAUGCAUCAGGUAGGAUGAACUGUCAUUAGUCAGAGGCUCUUAAAAGGAUUGGGACAUGGAUCACUGAAGAAGAAAAUGUAUGCUUUAACAGAUGAUAAUGCCAUGGGGACAAUGGAAUGGCAGAGGGUGUCAUGUAGGCAACCCAAGAUGGUUACGACCAUGCUUAAAUGUUGCCGGUUGCCGGCUGCUGGCUGCUGGCUGCUGGCUGCUGGCUGCUGGCUGCUGGCUGCUGGCUGCUGCCAAUUCUAAUGAUCUUAUUGGUUUAACAAAUAACAAUUAUUUUAGGUGUUAGCCUUCUCCAAGUAUCAUCCUGAGAUUUAAAGCACUCAAUGAGUAGGAAUUACAUAAAAAGAGCCCUCCAAUCUUCAGAAAUGGAGAAAUAAAUAAAGAAAUCUAACACUCCUUUAGCCAAAAUUAGGGUCCUGAAUGUAGUACUGAUUUACAGGAGUAAAACAAUACCAAGACAGGAUGAAAAACAGUAGCUAACGCAGGGAAUUAAUAAACAGCAAUCGGAGGGAGGAAAUUAUGGUAAUUUUCAGCCCAAAUUAGGUUCAGAAAUUAUGUCAAAUAGUCCCAAUUGAUCUCUGAAAACAGAACUGAGAUCUAGACACAAAGCAGGAAACAAAACAGUAGUAUUCAGAGGACAGAAACAGUAGUAGUCGAUUCAGGUUCUGAGAAGGGAAGUUAAAAUUGGUAAUUUGCAAAUAUGUUAAGAUUUAAAGCACUCAAUGAGUAGGAAUUACAUAAAAAGAGCCCUCCAAUCUUCAAAAGGAAAAAUAAAUAAAGAAAUCUAACACUCCUUUAGCCAAAAUUAGAGCCCCUAAUGUAGUACUGAUUUACAGGAGUAAAACAAUACCAAGACAGGAUGAAAAACAGUAGCUAACACGGGAAAUUAAUAAACAGCAAUCGGAGGGAGGAUAUUAUGGUAAUUUUCAGCCCAAAUUAGGUUCAGAAAUUAUGUCAAAUUGUCCCAGUCGAUCUCUGAAAACAGAACUGAGAUCUAGAUACAAAGCAGGAAACAAAACAGUAGUAUUCAGAGGACAGAAACAGUAGUAGUCAAUUCAGGUUUUGAGAAGGGAAGUUAAAAUUGGUAUUUUGCAAAUAUGUCAAGAUCCAGCGAUCAGAAAGAGUCCAAAAUUUUCCAAAUUAGGAUUCUUGACAGAAGCUGGAACAAGAGAACGAAAGAUGAUAAAAGGAGGAGGAAUGAUGUCUGUCUAGCGUUCCCCAAGCCCCAACACAACCCGUGUUUUCAGGGGGCAGGGGCGCCUUUUCACCGCCCCUGAAAACAGGGGCUGUGUGUGGGCGUGGGAACGCUAGACGGACAGCGUUCUUUUUCCCAAAAUUAAAAAAAAAAAAAAAAAACUUCUAGGAGUGAUAUGCAAUUGAGGAGUUUUCGAAGUUCAGAGUUAUCAAAAUCAAUCACCACAUUCCUCAUCAAACCCCAAAGCCAGAGAUACCAAAAUCAGCACUUCAUGCGGUAGAAAGCGCCAUAAUGCUCGAAAUCGUUUGGGCACUGCCAUCAUCGAUUCAGCACAAAACUUCAGUGUAGACAAUCGUUGUGAAAGUGCAGCAUUCUGUCCUCAAAUUUCAACUUUUUCGUCUUCGGCACCGGUAAGGGUUCCUUCCGUUCCUUUUCUUCUCCUUUUUUGUUGAUUCCCCCUUUUUUUUCUCGUUCUUUGUACACUGUGGUCACAAGUUGUUUUAGGUGUGGGCUUAUGUAUUUGCUAAAGAAAGAUAGUAUUGAAGAGUUUGUUGAAGUCUGAAUCAAUGGAGUGGUGAUUGGUCCAGCAAACAGGGUUGAGUGUAAGAACUUGUUUGAAGAAGCCCAAUUGUUGAGGAAGCCGGGCAAGCUGACAAGCCUAAGAAAUUUUAGUAAUACUACUAAGGAGAUAAGUUAUACUAAAAUUUUAUUACCAAAAUUUUGUGAGAUCAUUUCAGGGACUUGAAGAGAACCUCUUUUAGAUCUAAGCAGUGCACCUUAUUCUCAUUACUUUUUUUCCAAUGUUUUCCGCUAUCUCAAUAUGUUAAUCUCAUUUUUCUUCAUGGUUGGAGAAAAGGUUUAUUCCCAUGGCUUGAUGGGGAAAUCAAAAUACUGUUCAUGCUGAACAAGUUUCUUCUUUUUAUUUCUGUCUUUUUGCUGCUUUUUUGUUAAUAAUAUUAUUCUUGGGUAUUCUAUUACAGCUAUUGUUUUGUCCUUCAUCUGGACGCUUACAUAAGAUCAGAUAGUUGGUUUUCCUUAAAUCCUUUCUGGGCCUGAUUGUUCUGCUUUUUUAUCUAUUCAUAUCUGUCUCUGGAAAUGUUCUGAAGUUGCUCUUUUUCAUUGCUUUAUCUCCUGCAGGAAAACACAGUAUUCAAUUUACUUCUUUUUUUUCAGUUUUUAUUUGAUGUCCUUUAGUCCUUUAGUCAUCAGAGUAGCCUCCUGCUGGUGGUUUCCCAAGAAAUUAUUAGCACUAGAUAUCAUUUUAGGUUCCAGGAAAACUGAAUAGAAUUCUGUUCCAUCUAUUGCACACCCUAAGGUAGAAAAGAAGUUGAUACGUUUGGUAUUAUCUGAAUCUUAAUUAAAAUCUGAUCCUUCUCCUAAAGCCUCAAGUUAAUUGGGUUAGAUUUGUAAGAGUUAGAGAAAGUUUUCUUCAUAAUCUGUUUUUCAUCAAGGUUAGAAUUGAGUUUCUAUUUGCCAAAAAAGAAAAAGGAAAAUAAUACAACAGUACAAAAAACUAUCUACCAAAGUACAGCCAGCUCGCAUAGUUUUCUAAAUAGUUUUGGAAGCCCUCGUUUCGAUAAUUAUUUCUUCUAACCUCUAUAAUUUUGGAAAUUUCUCUGGUGGGGUUAUCUUUAGGUUGGCAUUGUGACUAGAGAACCACCUUGAUGUUAGAGGCUGUGAAAUCUUAAGCAAAAUAUUUCUACUCAUAAGGGAUUUGGGAGAAACCCUGAUAAAUGAUAUCACUAUCCAAAACAUUAAUUGUCUGAAACCCUGAUAUGAACCACUAAUCUAGUGCGAAAUAGGUAUCCGGACAAUCUGUGAAAGUUUACUAGUGGAUUUUAUUUCCCUUCUCAGGUUCCCUUCUUUGUUUUGACUAUUUCCACUCAUGAAUUACAAAAAUAGCAAAGUCUGUUAUGAUCAUGUACCUAAAUUUGGUUGCAAGAUUUUAAUAGGGGUGGUUAUUCUAAAAAUGUUGCUCCCAUAUUAAUGUAUGACAUUUAGGCUCGAAUUCAUAUUCAGGGAAAUUUCAGUCACUGGCUACAUUAAUAUUCAUAUCCCCAUACCAGUCUAAGAUUAUGUCCAUUUGAGGUUUAGGGUUACAUAGUGAUGAGAAACUAAACUCCAAUUGGUUCUAAAAAAUAUGGCAGUGGCUUGAGAUGGUAUGCUAACACCAAAUACAUCAGGCAGGAUGAACUGCCAUUUGUCAGAGGCUCUUCAAAGGAUUGGGACAUGGAUCGCCGAAGAUAAAGCCAUGGGCGCAAUGGAAUGGCAGCGGAGGGUUUCAUGUAGGCAACACAGGAUGUUUUUGACCAUGCUUAAAUGUUACUGGCUGCUGGCUGCUGGCUGCUGCCAAUUCUAAUGGUCAUAUUGGUUUAACAAAUAACAACAAUUAUUUCAUCUGUUAGAACUCUACAAGUAUCAUCCUGAGUAGGAAUUACAUAAAAAGAGCACUCCAACAUUCAAAAAUGGAAAAACAAAUAAACGAAUCUAACACUCCUUUAGCUACAAUUAGGGCCCCUAAUGUAAUACUGAUUUACAGGAGUAAAACCAUACCAAGACAGGAUCGAAAACAGUAGCUCACAUCAGAACUGAGAUUGCUCAUGAUGCGGAAGCUAGGCUUAGAUUUCGCUUUAAUUACUGAGUCUUUUUUUCCCCUGCUGAUGGCAAUGCCGAAGGAGGCGGAUUAAAAGUCUUUUAUCAGUUGUAUUUUCCUUUUUCAAUCUUUUCUUAAUUCAUAUUCUGAUUGUUAGCAAAAAAAAAAAACAGAAAUCAGAGGGAGGAUAUUAUGGUAAUUUUCAGCCCAAAAUAGGUUCAGAAAUUAAAUCAAAUAGUCCCAAUCUAUCUCUGAAAACAGAACUGAGAUCAAGACACAAAACAGGAAACAAAACUGUAGUAUUCAGAGGACAGAAACAAUAGUAGUUGAUUCAGGUUCUGAGAAGGGAAGUGUAAAAUUGGUAUUUUGCAAAUAUGUCAAGAUCCUGCCGUCAGAAAGAGUCCAAAUUUUUCCAAAUUAGGAUUCUUGAAGGUCUGGUGAAAUUUUGAAUGCGAUUGGAUGGCUGAAUUACUUAAUCCGAAAAAAUCUUGGAUCCAACCUUCUAGAAGAUCUGAACAAAUCAUAGGAUUACUUGAAGAACAGUUCUUACUUGACAGAAGCUGGAACAAGAGAACGAAAGAUGAUAAAAGGAGGAGGAAUGAUGUCCGUCUAGCAUUUCCCACGCCCACACAUAGCCCGUGUUUUCAGGGGGGCAGGGGCAUCUUUUCACAACCCCUGAAAACAGGGGCCGUUGGAACGCUAGACGGACAGUGUUCUUUCUCCCAAAAUAAAAAUAAAAAAUUCUUCUAGGAUUGGUUUUAAUGAGUUUUUGAAGCUCAGAGUUACCAAAAUCAAUCCCCAAAAUUCCUCAUCAAAACCCAAAGCCAGAGUUUUCAAAAUCAGCACUUCAUACCGUAGAAAGCGUCAUAAUGCUCCGAAUCGUUCGGUCACUGCCAUCAUCGAUUCAGCACAAAACUUCAGUGUAAACAAUUUUUAGUAACUGCUAGUCUCACUUCUACUGUAAGUCUUCUUUUGCUAGAUUUUAUAUAAAAUAGAGUAAGACAAUACAAGUUAUUCUUGUGUAUAUUGCAAGGGAAAGUGCAGCAUUCUGUCCUCAAAUUUCAACUCUGUUCGUCUCCGGUACCAGUAUGGGUUCCUUCUGUUCCUUUUCUUCUCCUUUUUGGUUGAUUUCCCUUUUUUUUUUUUUUUUUUUCGUUCUUUGUAUGCUGAGGUCACAAGUUGUUUUAGGUAUGGGGUUAUGUAUUUGACAAAGUAAGUAUUGUAGAGUUUGUUGAAGUCCUGGAUCAAUGAAAUAGCAAUUGGUCCAACAAACGGGUUGAGUGUAAUAACUUGUUUGAAGAAGCCCAAUUGUUGAGGAAGCAAGGGAAGCCAACAAGCAUAAGACAGUAGAGAAGAGAGACAGGAUCAUUUUCUGUCUGUUGAAACCCUAGAUAUUGGAAUCAGGAAGUAGCAAUGAUCUCCAAAAGUCUAAAUAUUUUUUUUUCAAUAAACUUGGGAAUCUUGCUACUGGAGGUAAGCUUCAUUGAUUUUUGCUUUUACCAAUUCCAAUUCCUUAAACCAUUAUGAUUGGCCCCAUAUUCAGAUUUUGGGUUCCAAUAUGAUUGUUGCUUUGUUGGGGUCCUGUGAGAAAAGAGAAAGCUUUAAGUUUCAUGCUUUAUGGAAGGUUUCAAAUCUCAUGCUUUAGGGAUCUGAGAUACUUUUAGCCAUUUUCUUAUGGCUUAUGUGUCUUAUUGUUCCUCUUUGCUAAUAUAAGCUUUUUUGGUUAUAAAUUGCAAUAGCUGUUUUGUUUCUAGGAGCAGGAGCACUCCUUGGUUUGCUAUAGUCUUUUAUCAUAUGAGAAAUCUGUUUCAACAACAAAGUAUUUACCAGACCAUUAAUCAUUGCAGGACAGAAAUGGCUUCUUGUUCAACUCUAGACAUCUUGAGUGAUCUACAAGAAAAUAUACUAGAAAACAUCUUUUCUCAUUUAUCAAUGAGAGACGUGGUGAGAACCAGUGUCCUAUCAACUUAGUGGAGAUACAAAUGCAUUUCAGUUCCACAUCUCAUAUUCAAUGAUGAUUGUAUACCAGUUUCUGUUGGUUCACUUGGUCAUGAUAAACUUGUGCAAAUUGUUAAUCAUGUUCUCCUCCUUCAUAGAGGUCCAGUUCUAACAUUUCAGAUCUCUAGUUCACAGUUAAAAACCUGUUCAGAUAUAGACUGCUGGAUUCUUUACCUCUCAUUAUAUUCUGUCAAUUCUAUCAAAGAUUUUAAACUUCUGAUUUCUGAAUCCAAGCAUCAUAUGUUCAUCCAUGUUUGUUCUCCUUUAAAAAACUGACUCAUCUGAUACUUGCUGGUUGCAUAAUCUUACUUCCUGUGAUGUUCAAAGGCUUUAGCUGUCUCACAACUCUGGCUUUUAAACAUGUUACACUCUCUAAUGUGGCAUUCGAAUGCUUGGUUUCUACCUUCCCUCAACUAGAGAGGUUGGCAUUGAUUGAUAUCGAUGGUCCUACUCGUAUUGAACUUAGCAAUCCGAAACUCAAGUACUUGUGGAUCUAUGGGAAAUUCAUUCCUAUAUACCUCAAAGAGUUAAGGUUUUUAGUUUUUGCAAGCUUUUUUGCAACAACAGCGGCUCAUCCUGGCCUAAGAAGAACUAGCAAUUUUAGCAACAUUCUUGGCUCUCUAUUGGGUGUUCAAAAGCUUGCCAUGGGAGGCUUGUAUCUACAGGUAAUAGAAUCUUGUGAUUUUCAUAUUUACUCAGCAAUUGGCUUGCAAUUAUUUUAUGUUUACUUAUGUUUGCGUCCUAUUAUAGUCUUUAGCCAUUGGUGACAUGCCUAGGAGGCUUCCUUCUACUUAUGAUCAUUUGAGGAGCACCUACUUUGCACUGAAAGUAGAGGAUAUGAAACAUAUUUUAGUUGCUAUUUGGUUACUUAAAAGCUCCCCUAAUUUGCAAAAGCCUGAAAUCCAUUUAAGUUACAUUUUAUCACCAUUCCUUUUCUUUUUUACCUUCUUAUGAUUGUUCUGAAAUUGUUUAAUACUCCGGCUCUGCUGUUCUAAGAGAGAUGCGAUUGUUCCUAUCAUGGAUCAACAAAAAGCAAAGGAACAGUUGGAGUGCACAUUCAGCAAACUUCAGGUUGUGAAUAUCUUUAGACUCCUUGGCAUGAAAAUGGAAUUGGAAUUCAUUAAAUUUAUCCUUGCCAGUUCGCCAGUGUUUGAAACAAUGAACAUCAUUCCUGCAAUAAAUGGCAUUGACAAAGGAUUGUUGUUGGAAGAGUUGCUUCGAUUGAAAAGAGCUUCAUCCCAAGCAGAAAUUUGUAUACUUGAACCCUAAGAUUCAGAAGUGAUCCAAGUUGAUGACCACUAGAGCUUCAUUCAAACCACCCCCCCCCCUUUUCCCCUUUUGUGCCGGUUAAAUGUAUCUUAUGUGGUAGAUGUGUCACAGGUCAAAUGCACAUGUGAGCAUUCAUGUUGGCUACUGAAACUAGUGACCUAGACUUGAUUUUUUCUUUGUUCUAUGGGAUCUUAAUGAUUUGGGGAUGACAGCAUUCAUGUUCCUUAUUGAAACUAAGAAUCCUGGCCUGUGAUUUUCUUUGCCAA